CUCCUACGGGGGGCAGCAGUAGGGAAUCUUCCACAAUGGGCGAAAGCCUGAUGGAGCAACGCCGCGUGGGUGAAGAAGGUCUUCGGAUCGUAAAACCCUGUUGUUAGAGAAGAAAGUGCGUGAGAGUAACUGUUCACGUUUCGACGGUAUCUAACCAGAAAGCCACGGCUAACUACGUGCCAGCAGCCGCGGCAAUACGUAGGUGGCAAGCGUUAUCCGGAUUUAUUGGACGUAAAGGGAACGCAGGCGGUCUUUCAAGGCUGAUGUGAAAGCCUUCGGCUUAACCGGAGUAGUGCAUUGGUAAA
Molecule: ribosomal RNA, 305 nt
Filed under: uncultured bacterium
Lineage: Bacteria
Description: bacterial SSU rRNA
Rfam family: Bacterial small subunit ribosomal RNA
Source: RNAcentral